UUAAUCCUGGCUCAGGACGAACGCUGGCGGCGUGCUUAACACAUGCAAGUCGAACGGAAAGGCCCUGCUUUUGUGGGGUGCUCGAGUGGCGAACGGGUGAGUAACACGUGAGUAACCUGCCCUUGACUUUGGGAUAACUUCAGGAAACUGGGGCUAAUACCGGAUAGGAGCUCCUGCUGCAUGGUGGGGGUUGGAAAGUUUCGGCGGUUGGGGAUGGACUCGCGGCUUAUCAGCUUGUUGGUGGGGUAGUGGCUUACCAAGGCUUUGACGGGUAGCCGGCCUGAGAGGGUGACCGGCCACAUUGGGACUGAGAUACGGCCCAGACUCCUACGGGAGGCAGCAGUGGGGAAUAUUGCACAAUGGGCGGAAGCCUGAUGCAGCAACGCCGCGUGCGGGAUGACGGCCUUCGGGUUGUAAACCGCUUUCGCCUGUGACGAAGCGUGAGUGACGGUAAUGGGUAAAGAAGCACCGGCUAACUACGUGCCAGCAGCCGCGGUGAUACGUAGGGUGCGAGCGUUGUCCGGAUUUAUUGGGCGUAAAGGGCUCGUAGGUGGUUGAUCGCGUCGGAAGUGUAAUCUUGGGGCUUAACCCUGAGCGUGCUUUCGAUACGGGUUGACUUGAGGAAGGUAGGGGAGAAUGGAAUUCCUGGUGGAGCGGUGGAAUGCGCAGAUAUCAGGAGGAACACCAGUGGCGAAAGCGGUUCUCUGGGCCUUUCCUGACGCUGAGGAGCGAAAGCGUGGGGAGCGAACAGGCUUAGAUACCCUGGUAGUCCACGCUGUAAACGGUGGGUACUAGGUGUGGGGUCCAUUUCCACGGGUUCCGUGCCGUAACUAACGCUUUAAGUUCCCCGCCUGGGGAGUACGGCCGCAAGGCUAAAACUCAAAGGAAUUGACGGGGCCCCGCACAAGCGGCGGAGCAUGCGGAUUAAUUCGAUGCAACGCGUAGAACCUUACCUGGGUUUGGCAUGGAUCGGGAGUGCUCAGAGAUGGGUGUGCCUCUUUUGGGGUCGGUUCACAGGUGGUGCAUGGCUGUCGUCAGCUCGUGUCGUGAGAUGUUGGGUUAAGUCCCGCAACGAGCGCAACCCUUGUUCACUGUUGCCAGCACGUUAUGGUGGGGACUCAGUGGAGACCGCCGGGGUCAACUCGGAGGAAGGUGGGGAUGACGUCAAGUCAUCAUGCCCCUUAUGUCCAGGGCUUCACGCAUGCUACAAUGGCUGGUACAGAGAGUGGCGAGCCUGUGAGGGUGAGCGAAUCUCGGAAAGCCGGUCUCAGUUCGGAUUGGGGUCUGCAACUCGACCUCAUGAAGUCGGAGUCGCUAGUAAUCGCAGAUCAGCAACGCUGCGGUGAAUACGUUCCCGGGGCUUGUACACACCGCCCGUCAAGUCAUGAAAGUUGGUAACACCCGAAGCCGGUGGCCUAACCGUUGUGGGGGAGCCGUCGAAGGUGGGACUGGUGAUUAGGACUAAGUCGUAACAAGGUAACCA
Molecule: ribosomal RNA, 1483 nt
Filed under: uncultured Actinomycetes bacterium
Lineage: Bacteria; Bacillati; Actinomycetota; Actinomycetes
Description: bacterial SSU rRNA
Rfam family: Bacterial small subunit ribosomal RNA
Source: RNAcentral